RNAcentral lists this ribosomal RNA (322 nucleotides) under uncultured eukaryote. RNAcentral's name for it is "partial 18S ribosomal RNA". It matches the Rfam family "Eukaryotic small subunit ribosomal RNA", at positions 1470 to 1796 of the family's 1831-position model. The record is from RNAcentral.
CCCUUAGAUGUUCUGGGCUGCACGCGCGCUACACUGAUGCGCUCAACGAGUUUACGAACUUGCCCGGAAGGGUUGGUUAAUCUUUUUAAAACGCAUCGUGAUGGGGAUAGAUUAUUGCAAUUAUUAAUCUUCAACGAGGAAUUCCUAGUAAGCGCGAGUCAUCAGCUCGCACUGAUUACGUCCCUGCCCUUUGUACACACCGCCCGUCGCACCUACCGAUUGAAUGGUCCGGUGAAAUCUCGGGACGGCGGCUUGGUCGCUUGCGUCCGACUGCUGAAACUUGAUUAAACCAUAUCAUUUAGAGGAAGGUGAANUCGUAACA